Gasterosteus aculeatus aculeatus (three-spined stickleback) is the source of this 4629-nucleotide long non-coding RNA. Lineage: Eukaryota; Metazoa; Chordata; Actinopteri; Perciformes; Gasterosteidae. The record is from Ensembl.
UGGUUACUUGUUACCUCGGUACUUUUAGCUUUUGUUUAACAGCUUCACGCAGUCCAUUCGACAUCAGCAGCCGUCCACAGAAAGUCACCUGAAUGUCAUGUUAAUGACUAAAUGUGUCAUUCCAACCCGCUGCAUCCUGUUAUGGCGUUCAUUGUUGAUCAUGCAUUUAUUGGUCUGUGCCAUUCUGGGGUCAUGAUAGAACAAGCCUGCUGCUGUUGUUCAGGCAACAAAAAGUUCAUUUUAGGAGUGCCAAUGUGUUUCACAUGGUUCCACAUGACUGCCCUUCCACAUCCACAGCUGCAGUGCUUCGCUCCUCAUGUAGGUUUUGAUCCGAAGCAAUUUCCUUUCUGACCAAUCAAAAAAGAACGAAAAACACCUCAGUGCUUUGAAUUGAACACUGGCAGUGACCCAAAUGUUCCGCAUUCACCUUCACAUCACAUGAUUGAGGGUAAUUUAUAAUUUGUCCCUGUGCUGCGAAACGAGGGGGAAAAGCCUCUCCAGGUUAUAGUGACAUUGCAUCAGAAAAGUGUUGUGUGGUGUGUUGUUUGUGUGUGCGGCCGCUCAAGAAGUGUGUGUGUGUGUGUGUGUGACCUCGAAAUUUUUUUAAUCUUUUGGGUGUGCAGCUGGAAUGACACAUUAUAUAAAACUAAAGUUAAAUUAUUUAUCCUUUUCUUUGCUAGGGAGUGAACUAUACAUGUCACCACCCACUCCCUCAGGAUGAAUGAAUGAAUAUGCUAAUGUUUAGCCAAGGCCCACAAACCCAACAGAUUUGCCGUUACGCAAACACAAUGUAAUUACACUCUCUGUGUGUGCAGGCAGAGUACAGGUGAGUAGGAGAGCAGCUUUCUAUGUACAUGUGCCACUUUUAUUCUACAAUGACAAACCACCAAACUGCAGCCCUGCGGCCAUUUUCCGCGUCCGCGUUCCCUUGUUUUCCACUUGUGGUGUUCACUAUCGUCCCAAAAAGCAAAGAGAACAAGAUUUGUUCCCACCCAUAUUUAUAGGGUGGUUGCAUUCAUUUAUUUGGCUGACCUCCAUAUGAGCAGACUUGUACACUGAAUUGGCCUCCGCUGCCCGCUUUGUGGGGAGAAACAAUGUGUAAUGCUGUUGUCACCAUGACAACCAACAGCGUUGCGUUUGUGUAAGAAAAUAUUAGUUGGGUAAUGUUUGCUGAGCUCCUAACAGGAAAAAAAACACAAGUCAUCUUUUAAGAGACGCAGGUAAAAUAUUAUACAAAAGUGAGUAGUUUCUUCCCCAAAACGCUACCGUCUCUUCGAGCUAAGCGCUGUCAGUUCAGCCACAAAAUAGCGGCGAGGACUUGCCGCUGUUCUAAAAAUACCUAUUGAUGAAAUGCAUAAUUGCUGCCAGCGAUGACCCAGUAACAGAAGUAACUAAUCAAAGAUUGACUGCUCUGAUGAGAGGUGAGUUAUGUGGAAUAGUGUGCAGUAGGAGGUCUGCUCAAUCUGAUGGAGCGUAACACAAAUCCCAGUGAGGCGUACUGAUUUAAUUUUAAUGUUCACAUUAGUUCAAUUAAUACGGAGCAAAGCAGAAGCCCCUGGAAUGUAUAAUCUGAGUGUUUAUAGGGUGAGUGUGUGACUGACUGUACAGCGUUGAGGGGAAGCGGGACAUCCGAUUCCAGAACAGAAAAGGAAGCAGUUUUAUGCUCCAUGAGCACAUUUCUAUAAUGUCCACAGAAGUUCUGUCUAAAAGACCGAUGUGCAAAGUGUUCAUCUCAGAGUGAAGCAGCUUUUCAAUUGGAAAACACUGCAGCUGUGAGGCUGCACAGAAAACUCAAUGAUUCAACCACGAGAGGAUGUUGUCUGUCGUAAGAAUGAGGUCAGAAAUGGUCAACUUCAAAUUAAAAGGUUUAAAAAUUAAAAGGUUUGAAGGUCUGUUAAUAAUUUAUAUUGAUGGAAACCAAAUGGGGGAUAAUGAGCAUUAAAGAUUGUUUUUACUAUUGACCCAUUGCCACCCUUUGUCGCCUAAAUUGAUGUGGUGGAUUUCAGCAAACCCCCUUUUCACAUCCAGCAUAUUAUCAUUACUUGGCUUCUGCUAUGAAGGAAAAUAUCUGGCUUUUAUGCUAGUUUUUAAAUUCCAAAUAUUAUUUCCUCAUCUCAGAGUUCAGCUUCCCUCAACUCCUCAUGAGGCUUUCACUUCUGCUUUUUAGUUACUCUUAAAAUUGUCUUCGUAACCGUCCAAAGCUACAGGUCGUUUUCCUUUUUAUGCGUUCAAGGCUGUUGAUGUGGAGAUUGCGCACAAAGGAGUGGACGAGCAGGCCACUCCGGGAAGGUGGAGGUGUAACUUCAGUUAACCAGCAGCAGUCACCUGAGCUCAUCAGGACCGGCUGAGAGGAGGACGACGGGACUCUUUCAUGAGACGCACGUGGGCGUCCGGGAUCGUUAGCCGUCUUCACGAGUUGGUUGACUUCCUGAGAGGACUGGUUUCUGUGAGACGUCGGGCUCCUCCUCUAAAACGACCUGGGAAGGUUUGAGCAGCUUAUUGUGGCGCAGCUUUCAUGUGCUGCUCUGUAAAUCUCUGAUAGGCUGCUAAUCUCAGUCUGUGUUCAGAAGUGUCCAAGUGUUGAGGCAGAUUAUGGGGGUUAGACUGUAUGAAGAUGGCUGUAGUGCUGUAGAUUAGUGGGCUUGUUCUACGGGCAGGAUUUUCUCCGUAAAUAACACCGAUAUGAACAAAUCCUGUCCGCAUCUGUUUUUUGAAUCAUGAGCAUAUGUGAGAUCUGCUCUUACUUUGUGGCUGGACCCGACUGACGUUGCUGGUUUAAGGUCUCGGAGCAACAGCAGAGAGUUUGAACUCCUCUGAAUUCAUCCCUAGUUCUGACAUGGAUGAGGGUCGACGCAUGUUUUAAGAGGGUGACCAGUCGCGCAUUGUGAUGUACAUCCAGUCGUCACAAAAAGAGAACGGGAGCAGAGUGAAAUGGCCUUCGGGUGGACGUCCACUGAACUAAACGCUGGGCCGCCGUGGGCGUCAGCGCUCCCAGCUGUAUUUAUGGGCCGUGAGGUGAGGCGUCCAGCUGCAUUUCUAACCUAGGACCUCGCUGUGUUGGGGAGGGCUCUGCGCGCCGUGAAAAGCCUGUCAUCAGAAAACUGCUGUCUUAAGCGAUUUCUCAGAGGAUGUGCUGAGGAGGUCCGGGUGAUUCAACUCCUCCCGGCCCUUGUGAUUUUGUCAGAUGUCCGUACGUCACUUGUGUGACUCGCAAAGUGCUUUUACAGUAAGAACUGUGUUGUUGGAUUCAAGCUUUUAAGUCCGCCUCCGUCUUACGUUGAGCGGCCAGUCGGUGUCUGAUGGCUGAAGACUUUCUCUUGCUCAUUCGGACGUUAUUAUCUUUUAUUUAUUUUUUUCUACGUUGCAAUGAAACGCGUCCUUUGCCCCUGUAAUUACACGGCGCUUCACACGGCGCUCCGAUGGAGAGAGAGGGAGGCUAAUUGGUGGCGCAGAGAUCUUGUCCAGGUGUGUGUGUGUUAGUGUGUCCAGGUGUCGGCUCAGUGUUGUGGAUGUUUGCCGUCUACAGAAUGUAGACUCAUUGUGUGCGCGCAGACCCUGUCGUAUCGUCUCUCCGAUUUAGGGAUCAGGUGUGAAUUCUGUACAGCAGAUGGGCUGUGACGGGUGUGUGUGUGUGUGGGUGUGUGUGUGUGUGUGUGUGUGUGUGUGUGUGUGUGUGUGUGUGUGUGUGUGUGUGUGUGUGUGUGUGUGUGUGUGUGGAGGUGAUUAGAGGUUGACUAAUAAAGAAGAAGAAUGACUGCUGAAUCAGCAUUUGAACAAAGGAGAUUUGGAUAACAAUUGUUUAGCAAUGUGUCAUUACAGCCACAAUGAAUAUGACAAAAAAGAUGACUGCUAGUAAUAAUAAAGCAAGAUGCCCCAUAUCGAUUUAGUUGUACUUUCAGGCAGCUAAACCUCUACUGAGUUCAGGAGGUCAGCGACUAUCUCAUGACCUGUGACCCUGUUAAACACGUUAAACACGUUGAUCAUUCCAGCUUCCACAAUGGCACAUUAAAAAGAGAGAGAGAGAGAGAGAGAGAGAGAGCAGUCUCGGAGCAGCAACCAGCGGGGAAUGUUUUAUUUUUGUGCUCACAAGGACGGGUUUCACAAAGAAUCAACAACAAAUCCAAAAGGUUAGUUUAGUCUGACUUUUAUUCCCCUCUCUCAUGUCACUUUUCCUCCGAUCACGUCGAUUAAACCAUGGAUGACGUCAUAAUUUCGUGCUUCUUUCCUUUUGGCUGGGCCAUUUAUUAUUUUUAUUUUUUUUGUAUGCACAUUUCAGGAAAAUGUUUGCUUUAUCUUCCAAACAUGGAUGGUCACACAAGUGAGCGUAUCGGGGUUUGCAGAGAGUGAAGUGGCGUGUUUGGUUGUUGCCCUGCUAGCAUGUGUGAGUUUGUCCGUGACCGGGAGCCGAUGGUUCAGCCUGUAAGGAGAAAGUUUAACAGCGUGAACUGUUUUGGCCCACAGUAGCUUGCGCGCCGUCCACUGAUGAAGCGAAACAACCAAGAUGACGUCUGGUAGCUUUCCUUGUCGAGGUUUCGCAACAAUACUUUCACUCUUCAAGUUGCUUUUCUUACAUUACAGAAGAAGAAGUGUCUGCUGCCUCAUGGAAUCGUGGUUUCCAAUCAGCCAAUC